This 63-nucleotide transfer RNA is filed under the name Hemisodorcus arrowi. RNAcentral describes it as "tRNA-Pro". The record is from RNAcentral. Lineage: Eukaryota; Metazoa; Arthropoda; Insecta; Coleoptera; Lucanidae.
CAGGAAGUAGUUUAUUAAAAUAUUAAUUUUGGAGAUUAACGAUGAAAGAUUUUUCUUUCCUGA